Non-coding RNA from Canis lupus familiaris (dog), 88 nucleotides. The record is from Rfam. Lineage: Eukaryota; Metazoa; Chordata; Mammalia; Carnivora; Canidae.
GGGAGCGCAGGAACCUGGGCUGUGUCCCCCCGCGCCCUGGGCUCGGGAGCCUGCGCUGCUGGAAUCGCGCUCCCGGGCCGGGGCUCCU